UCUCAGAUGGAUCCUAGUCUCUGGGC
RNAcentral lists this non-coding RNA (26 nucleotides) under Homo sapiens (human). Lineage: Eukaryota; Metazoa; Chordata; Mammalia; Primates; Hominidae. The record is from RNAcentral.